CGCCGCCGGCCGCCACAAUGCAGGAAGGCCGCCAUGGCGAUGGAGGCGGUCGGGCCGACGACCACGCCGCCACGCGGCAGGGCGUUCAGCCGCCCAGUCGCCUGGAUGCGAUCGUUGGUCAGGCUUUCGAGCUGAAACGCGGCGCGCAAGUCGUCUUCGUCGUCCGCGAUGUCGUCGAACACGCCGACCGCGGGGAAACGGCUGCUGAUGAUCCCUGUGCGUGCGGGUCGAUAUGCGUCUGAGCUGCAAGAAGCGUCAGCCCCCGCCCCGCCAGGCGUCGAGAUAGCGCCGCACGGCGUAGAGAUCGUCGAUGCCGCCGGCGGUCAUGCGGUCCAGCGGCGAGCGUCCGCCGAACGCCAGGUCGCGAUUGUCGGCCGGAGCCACCGGACCCCGUGCGCGUCGUCGGCGAACACCAGCCGCAGGCCCUUGAGAACGCCGAGCACCAGUGAGACGCGCUCAAGCUGGUCGCGGGUCAGGGACCCCCGGGCGCACCGUUGCGCCAGUUAUGUUCGGUCUGACGCGAGACGUCGCCCAGGAUUGCCCGGCGCUGAUCGACAUUCAGGCCCCACAACUCCGCUGCACGGAAGAACAGCCUGAGGGCCGGCGCCGACAGACGCCCGCCGUUCGUUGGAUCACGCAGAGCGUCCGGGCCAAUCGCCUCGCUGGCGGGUGGACCGAUGAAGGCGGAUUGAGGGGUUUCCUGUACAAACAUGGACACCAUGUACAUCAAUGUACGCCCGCUGGCAAUCCCUACCGGGCGGCGGCUACCCCCGCCUGCCCCACGGCCCUUUCGGCCCCGAGGUGGUGGGGACGGCGGUUCCGGACCCGCCCCAGGCUCCGCGGGGUUGCGGCUGGGAGCGGAUAUCGGCCUGCAACCCGACCAUGCCCAGCAACGCCUUCACCCGGUUCUGGGUGGCUGGGUGGGUGGAGAACAGGUUAUCGGCGCCGCGGCCCGAGAGCGGAUUGAUGAUGAACAGGUGGGCGGUGGCGGGAUUGCGCUCGGCCUGCAGGUUCACCUACGGAGAGUGCUACUCUAGUACUACCCCAUGACACACUUCCGUAGGUGAACCUGCGGAAGGAUCAUUAAUAGAGCAAUGAGCAGUCAGCGCCCCGGGAGAAAUCCUGGGGGCCACCCUCCUCGGAGGGUUUAGAGACGUCGGGCCUCUCGCAGAAGCUCGGUUCAGACCUCCACCCUUGAAUAAAUUACCUUUGUUGCUUUGGCAGGACGCCUCGUGCCAGCGGCUUCGGCUGCUGAGUGCCUGCCAGAGGACCACAACUCUUGAAAUACAUGAUGUCUGAGUACUAUAUAAUAGUUAAAACUUUCAACAACGGAUCUCUUGGUUCUGGCAUCGAUGAAGAACGCAGCGAAAUGCGAUAAGUAAUGUGAAUUGCAGAAUUCAGUGAAUCAUCGAAUCUUUGAACGCACAUUGCGCCCUCUGGUAUUCCGGGGGGCAUGCCUGUUCGAGCGUCAUUAUAACCACUCAAGCUCUCGCUUGGUAUUGGGGUUCGCGGUCUCGCGGCCCCUAAACUCAGUGGCGGUGCCUGUCGGCUCUACGCGUAGUAAUACUCCUCGCGAUUGAGUCCGGUAGGUCUACUUGCCAGCAACCCCCAAUUUUUUACAGGUUGACCUCGGAUCAGGUAGGGAUACCCGCUGAACUUAAGCAUAUCAAUAAGCGGAGGAAAAGAAACCAACAGGGAUUACCUCAGUAACGGCGAGUGAAGCGGUAACAGCUCAAAUUUGAAAAGCUAGCUCUUUUAGGGUUCGCAUUGUAAUUUGUAGAAGAUGCUUCGGGUGUGGCCCCGGUCUAAGUUCCUUGGAACAGGACGUCAUAGAGGGUGAGAAUCCCGUAUGUGACUGGGUGCCUUCGCUCAUGUGAAGCUCUUUCGACGAGUCGAGUUGUUUGGGAAUGCAGCUCAAAACGGGUGGUAAAUUUCAUCUAAAGCUAAAUAUUGGCCAGAGACCGAUAGCGCACAAGUAGAGUGAUCGAAAGAUGAAAAGCACUUUGGAAAGAGAGUUAAACAGUACGUGAAAUUGUUGAAAGGGAAGCGCUUGCAACCAGACUUGCGCGCUGAUGAUCAUCCGGGCUUCUGCCCGGUGCACUCGUCUGCGCUCAGGCCAGCAUCGGUUUCGGUGGUGGGAUAAAGGCCUUGGGAAUGUAGCUCCUCUCGGGGAGUGUUAUAGCCCUCGGUGCAAUGCCGCCUACCGGGACCGAGGACCGCGCUUCGGCUAGGAUGCUGGCGUAAUGGUUGUAAGCGACCCGUCUUGAAACACGGACCAAGGAGUCUAACAUCUAUGCGAGUGUUUGGGUGUCAAACCCAUACGCGUAAUGAAAGUGAACGGAGGUGAGAACCCUUAAGGGUGCAUCAUCGACCGGUCCUGAUGUCUUCGGAUGGAUCUGAGUAAGAGCAUAGCUGUUGGGACCCGAAAGAUGGUGAACUAUGCGUGAAUAGGGUGAAGCCAGAGGAAACUCUGGUGGAGGCUCGCAGCGGUUCUGACGUGCAAAUCGAUCGUCAAAUUUGCGUAUAGGGGCGAAAGACUAAUCGAACCAUCUAGUAGCUGGUUCCUGC
This 2568-nucleotide unclassified non-coding RNA is filed under the name uncultured fungus. RNAcentral describes it as "sequence contains 18S rRNA gene, ITS1, 5.8S rRNA gene, ITS2, 28S rRNA gene". The stretch from base 1625 to 2568 matches the Rfam family "Eukaryotic large subunit ribosomal RNA", at positions 1 to 961 of the family's 3401-position model. The record is from RNAcentral. Lineage: Eukaryota; Fungi.